GAUGCCUUCACCCGAUUUCAUCCUGAAGUCCUCAAACUUCUUCAUAUCCACUGUCAGCUUGUUGUCCUUCUCCUGUUCAUCACCUUCACC
Molecule: long non-coding RNA, 90 nt
Organism: Ipomoea nil (Japanese morning glory)
Lineage: Eukaryota; Viridiplantae; Streptophyta; Magnoliopsida; Solanales; Convolvulaceae
Exons: 3
Source: RefSeq, a predicted model, not a curated record